Molecule: long non-coding RNA, 367 nt
Filed under: Struthio camelus australis
Lineage: Eukaryota; Metazoa; Chordata; Aves; Struthioniformes; Struthionidae
Description: lncRNA (ENSSCUG00000018166.1)
Source: RNAcentral
CGGCACCGCUCGCGCGGGGUCUGGAGAGUCGGAGACAGCAGCGGCACCCGCCUCCCCGUCCGGGCACCCUCGGGCUGCUGCCGCUCCCGGGAACACCGGCAGCCUGGGGGAUGCCGCGAGGGGUUUCGCUCCCAGGGAGCAAGGAGAAUGUCACCUGUCCCUGGAGGACGACGUUCAGCACAGAGGUCAGACUUCAAAACCGGACACGGUGAUUGCACUAAGCAGGGCUCGUCCCUCGUCCCCUCGGCCUCCGCUGCAGCAUCGCUCUCCUGUUUUGCAUCUUAGGCGCCUGCAUGGCGUGUUUCUCCUCUCGCUGCGAAGGGCACGGGCACCUCUUGCCAUGCCCUCCCCUGCCGCCGGCACCUAC